Molecule: long non-coding RNA, 387 nt
Organism: Gavialis gangeticus (Gharial)
Lineage: Eukaryota; Metazoa; Chordata; Crocodylia; Gavialidae
Exons: 3
Source: RefSeq, a predicted model, not a curated record
UCUUUAAAAUUGGUCUAGAACAGUCAGUAAAAAACCUAAGCCUUAUUUUGCAAUAUAGUUUUUAAGAACGUGGUAGUACACUUAUGACUACAAUGAAAGGUAUAUCUUGAUUCUUGGCAAUCAUCAGCUACUUUGCUCCUCCAUACAUCAUCUAAGAUGUAAUCUUUUGGAUUCAUACCAUGUAAUCAAUUUUGUCAAAUGUACACCAUAACAAGCAAUUAAAAAUCCUUAAAACAAUAAUGGAAGACAAAACAUGCGAGAGAUGUGAUGCUGUACCUAAUGAAGUCAAUGGAUGCUAAACCAAUGACUUUUUAAGAAGGUAAAAGUCUAAAGGCUUAAAAUAAAAGAACGUGUUGGUUUUUUUUGUGUUUACGUGUUGAACAGCUA